GACGAACGCUGGCGGCGGGCUUAACACAUGCAAGUCGAACGGAAAGGCCCUGCUUUUGUGGGGUGCCCGAGGGGCGAACGGGUGAGUAACAGGUGAGUAACCUGCCCUUGACUUUGGGAUAACUUCAGGAAACUGGGGCUAAUACCGGAUAGGAGCUCCCGCUGCAUGGAGGGGGUUGGAAAGUUUCGGCGGGCGGGGAUGGACUCGCGGCUUAUCAGCUUGUUGGUGGGGUAGUGGCUUACCAAGGCAUUGACGGGUAGCCGGCCUGAGAGGGUGACCGGCCACAUUGGGCCUGAGAUACGGCCCAGUCUCCUACGUGAGGCAGCAGUGGGGAAUAUUGCACAGUGGGCGGAAGCCUGAUGCAGCAACGCCGCGUGCGGGAUGACGGCCUUCGGGUUGUAAACCGCUUUCGCCUGUGACGAAGCGUGAGUGACGGUAAUGGGUAAAGAAGCACCGGCUAACUACGUG
Molecule: ribosomal RNA, 468 nt
Filed under: uncultured bacterium
Lineage: Bacteria
Description: partial 16S ribosomal RNA
Rfam family: Bacterial small subunit ribosomal RNA
Source: RNAcentral